Molecule: non-coding RNA, 348 nt
Organism: Vicia faba (fava bean)
Lineage: Eukaryota; Viridiplantae; Streptophyta; Magnoliopsida; Fabales; Fabaceae
Source: the annotation of a GenBank genome assembly
GGAGCCCAAUGGGUGCAAGCUAAUUUCAGAGGGUACAGUGUAACAAUCAGGGCACUAGGGUCAUCUGUAGAUGAGCCAAGAAGAAUUUUCGUUCAACCUUCAUCGCCUUCUUCUUUGACCAUCACAUACCAAUUUCGCCGCUCAUUUCACUUCAUGAACAACACUCAUCUCCUCCGCCUCUGUUUCAAUACCGAUUUGACGCCUCUCUGUUCGUCUCUUUCUUUUCUCUUUGUCCCAACCUUCCUUCUCCACCGCACAGUCGCCAUGACCUCUGUCUCAUCUCUUGCUCACGACGGCGGCUCAAACUUCUUCACCCACGCCUUCCAAUCACUCAGCGGAGCCGAUUGA